This 390-nucleotide ribosomal RNA is filed under the name uncultured bacterium. RNAcentral describes it as "bacterial SSU rRNA". It matches the Rfam family "Bacterial small subunit ribosomal RNA", at positions 28 to 419 of the family's 1533-position model. The record is from RNAcentral.
GACGAACGCUGGCGGCGUGCUUAACACAUGCAAGUCGAGCGGUAAGGCCCUUUCGGGGGUACACGAGCGGCGAACGGGUGAGUAACACGUGGGUGACCUGCCCUCAGCUCUGGGAUAAGCCUGGGAAACCGGGUCUAAUACCGGAUAUGACUCCACGGCGCAUGUUGUGGGGUGGAAAGCCUUGUGCGGCUGAGGAUGGGCCCGCGGCCUAUCAGCUUGUUGGUGGGGUGAUGGCCACCAAGGCGACGACGGGUAGCCGGCCUGAGAGGGCGACCGGCCACACUGGGACUGAGACACGGCCCAGACUCCUACGGGAGGGCAGCAGUGGGGAAUCUUGCGCAAUGGGCGAAAGCCUGACGCAGCGACGCCGCGUGAGGGAUGACGGCCUCG